This 28-nucleotide small RNA is filed under the name Bombyx mori (domestic silkworm). Its description in RNAcentral is "ovarian small RNA-20365". Lineage: Eukaryota; Metazoa; Arthropoda; Insecta; Lepidoptera; Bombycidae. The record is from RNAcentral.
UACAUAAUUUCCCAUCCAUUCUACAAGA